Long non-coding RNA from Cyanistes caeruleus (blue tit), 1553 nucleotides. NCBI's taxonomy places the organism in Eukaryota, Metazoa, Chordata, Aves, Passeriformes, Paridae. The record is from Ensembl.
CAGAGGGAAUUGUAUAGAGGACAGCUGAAGAAGGCAUUGGCCUCUGCUGGCUCCCCGGGACUCCCAGGAGAGAUCAAAGGGACACGAGGGGGUUUUUAGCAGCCUUGAGACUGGGAAAAGUUGCUAGUUCCUGCUAUCGGAGGGACGUCCCAGCGAGCACAUGGUUCAAUUAUUCAACCUCCUCCCCUCCCUGCCCCCUACACCCAUCCUUAGCUCAUUCUCCACAGAAAGAAGGAAAUUGUAAAAAAAUCGUACGGGGUCCCCAAAGCUGCAAUGGUCCACCCAGGAAUUUUCCCGUGGCGACAAUUGUUGUGUCGCCUCUUGAUCGCCUUGACUUCGAGCUCAGAGAAUGAGCUAAGCCUGCUGCUACAUGUUUGCUUCCCUUCCUGGACUGCGGACGAUUUCACCGAGGAAAAUAAAGAUGCACAAUAUAAAACCCAAAACAAACCAACCAAAAAACCCCAACAAAAUAAAAGAGAAAACCCAAACCAACCAAACAAAAAAUAAACCAAAACAAACCCCCAAAACCUCAAACUAAAAACAAGGCUUUAAACGCUCGGUCGCGUCCCUUCAGAAGAAGGCGGUGUCAACGCGGCAGCACGGCCGACAAGGCACCCCAUUCCCCCCUUCCACUGCCUUCCCCAUGUCGUUCCCGGCCCCACAGGCACCUCUGGCUCUGCACGCCGGGACGGGCACCACGCACCGCGGGCCGGCGGAGCCCCGCAUCCCCCCGCUCCCGAGAGAGCGAGCAGGUGGUUGGUUCCCAGGAGAGCGGAGCAGGCAAACUUCUCCAAACAAUCGCUCAAGUUACCCUGCUGCUGGAGGAGACGCUGCCGUGGGGGUCCUGCCGGGCGGACGGGUGGCUUCUUGAGAUGAAUGCCCGGCUGCGGGCAAAUCUGACAGCCGGCUGCCCCGGUGUGGGUGCGACACUGUGGCUUUGGAGGGUGGCCCAGCACGGCUCCUGCCCUGAUGAGGGCAGCGGGAUCGCCGUGUGAACUCUGUGUAGCCCUUCCCGCGGACGCGGCGGAGUUUGAAACAAAUUAGGAAGGAAGGAGAAGAGCUGCAAGCCCGAUGUGAAAUACUGUCUUGCUGGACAAGUGCCUUCGCUAUAGAAGCGAGCUGCAGCGUCUCCUCUCUUGUGCCAGGUCGCAGAGAUGGCACGCAGGGCCCAACGCUCCCCCGCGCCGCUUUCUGAAGAAUUCGAGAGUUUCCCGAGACAACGGGUUUAAUUUCAAAGGAGAAAAAAAAUGGGGAAACUUGCAUCACCGUGCCCGCCGCAAUUACUCCUUGCAAGGGAGUGUCUCAUUAGAGCUAGCACAUCACUGGUUUAAAAACCCCGCUGGCCACGGCGACACAGAAAGGGUGGUAGGAAGGCACUGCAGAUUGGAGAGUCAGCUCUCAGGGCAGGCUCUGCCCAGAGCUUCCACUUCAGACGGGUGUACCCGUGCCCCAGAUGGCCAGGGAGGGGGAGGCUUUCCCAAAGCGCGACUGUGACCUUUCAAAAACCAGAAACAAAGAAUAAAUCAAGGGCUAAAGCUGACGAGGGGACCGCA